This 752-nucleotide small RNA is filed under the name Pongo abelii (Sumatran orangutan). Its description in RNAcentral is "processed transcript". Lineage: Eukaryota; Metazoa; Chordata; Mammalia; Primates; Hominidae. The record is from RNAcentral.
CGCUUUAAUAAAUCUUGACACCACACACUCUUUUGGUCUGUUUCUCUAAUCGAGCUGUAACACUCGCCACUGUGGUCCACGGCUUCAUUACCUGAAGCCCGUGAGACCACGAACCCUUCGAUCGAGAAAAGACCUUCAAUCGGGAGAAGACUCCUCGUCUCAAAAAGCAUCCGGGCAUCAGGCCUUAUCCUGUUGGAAACGAUCCUUUUUGGAUCUCUGCUCCUAUACUUUCCAGGCUUAUGCUCUGAAGAUAGAAAGGACCAUGUUAUUUAAUAAAGAUUUGGAUGUAGCAUAAAAUACAGGGGAAAAGGAGAUUAAAGGCGAAGAAUAACCUGGUUGUUGGACUGGACUCAUGGGCUUCGUUUGGUUUUAUGGAAACAAGUGUAUAACUUUUGCCUAGAAUUUUGCUAUAAGGAAGACCUGUAUUAAGUGGUUAAGGUGACUAAGUAUCCAAAUAUAGCCAAAAAAUCUAAUAAUUUGUUGGUAUAAAUGUGACUAAUAUCUUUCUUGUUUGUUAAAUACCUUACCUACUGUCUGUGUUCCUGGUGUGGAUUAUACUAGAAUUGCUCAUGAAAGUUCUACUGGGAGGUUACAAUUUUUUUAAAAGCAUAUUUGAAUAAAAUAGAAUUGUUUUUAGGGCUAGCUAACUCCAUGGAAGUAGGCUUUGUGGAUAUUCACUGUUCUUCUGAGUUAUGCAAUGAGCCUUUUCUUCUUUAUAUGCUGCAUAUUGUUGUUCAGAUUUGCAAGAAUUA